RNAcentral lists this unclassified non-coding RNA (191 nucleotides) under uncultured fungus. RNAcentral's name for it is "sequence contains ITS1". Lineage: Eukaryota; Fungi. The record is from RNAcentral.
GCGUGUCUCCGUGCCCGCGUAUACCCUGUGAACCCACGGCGUAAGCCGCUGUGUUGCCUCGGCCAGCGGCCCCAGGGCGGGGCCCGCCUAGCCUGGAUGGACCCGGGUGCUGGCCGGCGGCGCGGACCUUCUGGAUCAUGAUUGAGGGAGCUCUGAGUCUCUGAGGGAUUUAUCCCAAAUUUUUUGAUACA